RNAcentral lists this long non-coding RNA (846 nucleotides) under Coffea arabica (coffee). RNAcentral describes it as "long non-coding RNA (CARA_LNC004941)". Lineage: Eukaryota; Viridiplantae; Streptophyta; Magnoliopsida; Gentianales; Rubiaceae. The record is from RNAcentral.
CCUUUUUUUUUUCUUUUUCUUUUUUUGGCCCCUUCUUCUUCUUGUGUUUUAACAGUUACAUAUGAUAAAGUUGAUGAAACUCUCUCUCUCUCCUUACAAGGUAUAGAGAAUUGAUAUGAGAUUUUUUUUUUUUCCUCCUUUUAGGAAGAGAAAAAGUUCCAACUUUCAAUGGGUGAAAAUGCUAGGCUUUGUUGGGGAAAAAGAAAACUUGGAAUAAGGGAAUCAUCCUAAGGAAUUCGACAUGCAAGUUUGUGAAUUUAGGAAAGGGAGAUAAUUUCGCAUCAAAAAAAGGGUUACCAGCCAAUCUGCCCAUCUCCAUUAUACAAAUAUGGCUUUUGCCAGUUUGGAAUUCCCAUACAUAUGAAAAGUUGUUUUCCUAGAUUAAAAAUUUUGAAACAUUUUAACUUAUGAUUUUGCCAUUUGGUCGAAGAUACAUGGUAGACGUUAAUUUAUCCAACUCAAAUAAUAUAUUUACUUUUGUGUCUCAUAAAUAAAGGGUGUGAUGAACUAGUCGAUUUAUUUAAGAAAUUUUUUUUUUCAUAAUGGCAAAAGUCAUGCACGGAUGAGAAUAGGAUAAGAAUUGGAAAAGAAAAAGGGCGUGGAACAAUAAUAAAAAUGAGAAACCAAGAAAAGAUCCUAUUUGUAAGUGACAGCUCAUUAAGGAAGUAGUCCACGUUAGGUCCUUGUGGAUACUAUCAUGAACAACACAUACUUGCAUUCAUAAAAAGUGUAGGUUUCUGAUAAUUAUAAAAGUACACACAUGCGCAUGCUUAUCAAUCCGUGUUGGAAUGUUUGUUAUCUUCAAUUUUUUUUUUUUUUUUUGGUUAAUUGUCACCGUCUACUCUG